ACAAGCAGUGGUCUAUCUUGGUUUAGUUAUUACACACCCUCCAAUUUAAGGUCUGAAGAUCACUGCAGCCAUUUUGCUCCUUCCCUACCUCUUCAAAGAAGAUCUAAGUGGGCUGUAUGUCACAGACGUUUUGACCCAAUGAUUCAUCUGGCAUGGAUCAAGGCUGGCGAGACAUUCAAUAAUGUCAUCUUUAGAGACAAAUCAACCGUGGCCCUUGAGCAAUUUGCUCACAGAUGAACUGAUCAAGGCCAUCAAGAUGUUUUGGCUAGAGAAAUUGACGAUUCAACAAUGCAACAUCAUCAUCUCAUCAAGGUUUUACCUGUGGUCGUGGAGAUGGGUGGAAUGUAGCUUAUAUAAACAUCUGCAUUUGAAUGUCUUUUUUCUCGUUAUUUAAUUUUAUUAACAAAAGCAUAAAUAUGUUGCUGAAUAAAUACUGUACUGCUGUUUUGAGUUGGAAAUGUAACACUUUAGAGUACUUAAGUAUCGAAUACAUUGCAAGUUGGGGUAUUUUUCCCAACAGUAGCCGGGUUAUAAAAAGUAUAUUGUCCUGCUAAUAGGAAACAUUUGCAUGAUGGGCUACACCUGCUACAGUUGUGAAAAACAAGUAUUUGAAAACCUGUGUUCAAAAUGCCUCCAGUUGUCCAUCACUACUGUAAAUAAAAACGCAGCAUCUUGUUUA
Long non-coding RNA from Oncorhynchus nerka (sockeye salmon), 679 nucleotides. RefSeq lists it as uncharacterized. The record is from RefSeq and is a predicted model, not a curated record. Lineage: Eukaryota; Metazoa; Chordata; Actinopteri; Salmoniformes; Salmonidae. The transcript is spliced from 2 exons.